Long non-coding RNA from Canis lupus familiaris (dog), 407 nucleotides. RefSeq lists it as uncharacterized. The record is from RefSeq and is a predicted model, not a curated record. The transcript is spliced from 3 exons. NCBI's taxonomy places the organism in Eukaryota, Metazoa, Chordata, Mammalia, Carnivora, Canidae.
UGAUGAGAAUGUCUUCCUUCCUCUGGUACAGAGAGGGUACCUUUCAUAUGGGACUUUCAUCUCCUGCUUUCAGGAAGAAAAAGGAGGAUCAGAAUGUCCUUCUUGGGCCUACUCAUUUUUUAAAACACCUUUAAAUCAAGAUAAUCAAAUACCAAGUGACAUAUUUUAAGGACUUCAAGAACAAUUGAAUAUCCAGAUGGCAAACAUGAAAGCAGUCCUUGAGCAGAGCUGCAACAGUAUCCUCAUGGACACUGAAGGAAACAUCUGCUUUUCCAGUGGCCUUCCUACUGGAACUAUAUUCCAUGGUGACUCCAACAGGCUUCAGUCACAACCUUGUGAGAAAAUGGUUCUACCAUACUAGUGCACAAAAAAUCAAGGUCUGAGAUGCAAGAAAGAAUGAAAAACAG